GUUUCCAGUCUCCCUGCAGUCAAAGGUGGAUCUUUGAACCACGUUUUAAUUGAAGAAAGUUGCUUAUUUGUGGAUUCUGCACUUUUCUUUCAGGUCUGCAUCUUUGCUGCUGCCGUAAAGAGUCAGAAGAGCACCAGAUAUCGUAGAGAAGUAUUUCCAACAAAUAGUUUUGGGUUGUUUGAAGAAACUUGACUCAUUAGGGAUGGACGUGUCCUGCUGCUCUAUCACGUGAUGCAUACUGCUCCGACGUUCUGAGAGACACAGCCAGCCAGGUGGACAGCAGGUGAGCCAGAGUCGGAAGUGACACGUGG
Molecule: long non-coding RNA, 311 nt
Organism: Astatotilapia calliptera (eastern happy)
Lineage: Eukaryota; Metazoa; Chordata; Actinopteri; Cichliformes; Cichlidae
Source: Ensembl